UAUAUAAAAGUGUAAGAUGCACAUUAGAUUUUGAUUCUUUUAGGUAUGGUUUAAUUCCAUAUUAUAUAG
RNAcentral lists this transfer RNA (69 nucleotides) under Dalpada cinctipes. Its description in RNAcentral is "tRNA-Gln". It matches the Rfam family "tRNA". Rfam says of the family: Transfer RNA (tRNA) molecules are approximately 80 nucleotides in length. Their secondary structure includes four short double-helical elements and three loops (D, anti-codon, and T loops). Lineage: Eukaryota; Metazoa; Arthropoda; Insecta; Hemiptera; Pentatomidae. The record is from RNAcentral.